RNA transcript from Mandrillus leucophaeus (drill), 912 nucleotides. It is a transcript of the gene named coatomer subunit zeta-1 pseudogene, with no coding region annotated. NCBI's taxonomy places the organism in Eukaryota, Metazoa, Chordata, Mammalia, Primates, Cercopithecidae. The record is from RefSeq and is a predicted model, not a curated record. The transcript has a single exon.
GUCGGCACCAGCUGCGGGGCAAGAUGGAGGCGCUGAUUUUGGAAACUUCCAUGUAUACUGUCAAAGCCAUCCUGAUUCUGGACAAUGAUGGAGAUCGACUUUUUGCCAAGUACUAUGACGACACCUACCCCAGUGUCAAGGAGCAAAAGGCCUUUGAAAAGAACAUUUUCAAUAAGACCCAUCGGAUUGACAGUGGAAUUGCCCUCUUGGAAGGCCUGACAGUGGUAUACAAAAGCAGUAUAGAUCUCUAUUUCUAUGUGAUUGGCAGCUCCUAUGAAAAUGAGCUGAUGCUUAUGGCAGUUCUGAACUGCCUCUUGGACUCAUUGAGCCAGAUGCUGAGGAAAAAAUGUAGAAAAGCGAGCACUGCUGGAGAACAUGGAGGGGCUGUUCUUGGCUGUGGAUGAAAUUGUAGAUGGAGGGGUGAUCCUCGAGAGUGAUCCCCAGCAGGUGGUACACUGGGUGGCAUUAAGGGGUGAAGAUGUCCCCCUUACGGAGCAGACCGUGUCUCAGGUGCUGCAGUCAGCCAAAGGACAGAUCAAGUGGUCACUCCUUCGGUGAAGACCCCACUAUUCCUGGCUCUUCAUCCUCUUCAAAAAAUUCGCAUGUCUGCUGUGAAUUUUCAUCUAGUUCCCCAAUUGAUGUUCUCAGGGUCAUCUCGGGGAUCACAGAGAUCCUUAAAUCUCCAUUCUGUUUGUGCUUGUCCCCCCAACCUCCCCUACACCCUUCCUAUUCUUUUUCAUUCUUCUUGCAGUUCUAGGAGUAAAGCUCCCAGUGUAUUUAGAUAAUAGGGCAGGGGAAGCACCCUCUUUCUUUCUAGACUGGAUUAUGCUCACAUGCUCCCUUGCCCUGACAUUUUUGUAAAUUCUGUGCCCUUUGUUGUAGCUACACUUCAGAUUAAAGUAGGAGAAAGAA